Molecule: long non-coding RNA, 375 nt
Filed under: Rattus norvegicus (Norway rat)
Lineage: Eukaryota; Metazoa; Chordata; Mammalia; Rodentia; Muridae
Description: long non-coding RNA NONRATT005415
Rfam family: mir-3661 microRNA precursor family (bases 93-176)
Source: RNAcentral
GGUCUCCGUGCCGCCAUGUUGCACCGUCCCCGCGGCCUCCUAAUAGGAAGGCCCGGGCAGAGGCCGCACCUGGGCCUAGAGCAGCUCACCUUCUCGCAGAGGCUCUUGACCUGGGACUCGGAGAGCUGCUUGCACUCGUUCAGCUGCUCGAUCCACUGGUCCAGCUCCUUGGUGAACAACUUCUCGUCCAUGAUGCCGCCCGCCCGAACCGGCUGCCGCUCUGCGCUGCUCCCGCGCCGCCGCCCGCACCCGGGCCACACGCACACGCCGCCGCCGCUCCCCGGGGUGCUUCCUGCGGCCCCAGGCGGCUGCUGGGCGCUGGCGCCGGCCCGCUGGCUCGCUCCGCAGUGCUCGGCCGCCGGCCGCUGUGCCUCC